RNAcentral lists this small RNA (114 nucleotides) under Rhizobacter gummiphilus. Its description in RNAcentral is "Guanidine-I sequence". It matches the Rfam family "Guanidine-I riboswitch aptamer". Rfam says of the family: This family represents a conserved RNA structure found upstream of the ykkC and yxkD genes in Bacillus subtilis and related genes in other bacteria. The function of this family is unclear although it has been suggested that it may function to switch on efflux pumps and detoxification systems in response to harmful environmental molecules. Lineage: Bacteria; Pseudomonadati; Pseudomonadota; Betaproteobacteria; Burkholderiales; Sphaerotilaceae. The record is from Rfam by way of RNAcentral.
UCACAGGAUGGCUAGGGUUCCGGCUGCCGGCACGGCAGCGCUGGUCCGAGAGCCAUCGGCCUGUCGCGGCCUUCACCGCACCAGGCUCCACGGCGGGACAAAAGCCCGGGAGAU